Molecule: ribosomal RNA, 508 nt
Filed under: uncultured bacterium
Lineage: Bacteria
Description: partial 16S ribosomal RNA
Rfam family: Bacterial small subunit ribosomal RNA
Source: RNAcentral
AUUGAACGCUGGCGGCAUGCCUUACACAUGCAAGUCGAACGGCAGCGGGGGAGAAGCUUGCUUUUCCUGCCGGCGAGUGGCGCACGGGUGAGUAAUACAUCGGAACGUGCCCUGUAGUGGGGGAUAACUAGUCGAAAGAUUAGCUAAUACCGCAUACGACCUGAGGGGGAAAGUGGGGGACCGCACGGCCUCAUGAUAUAGGAGCGGCCGAUGUCUGAUUAGCUAGUUGGUGGGGUAAAGGCCUACCAAGGCGACGAUCAGUAGCUGGUCUGAGAGGACGAUCAGCCACACUGGGACUGAGACACGGCCCAGACUCCUACGGGAGGCAGCAGUGGGGAAUUUUGGACAAUGGGCGAAAGCCUGAUCCAGCAAUGCCGCGUGUGUGAAGAAGGCCUUCGGGUUGUAAAGUACUUUUGUCCGGAAAGAAAUGGCUCUGGUUAAUACCUGGGGUCGAUGACGGUACCGGAAGAAUAAGGACCGGCUAACUACGUGCCAGCCGCCGCGGUAA